AAGGUUUUAAGUUAAUUAAACUAAUAGCCUUCAAAGCUAUCAAUAUAAGACAUCUCUUUUAAGCCUUA
Molecule: transfer RNA, 68 nt
Filed under: Meroplius fukuharai
Lineage: Eukaryota; Metazoa; Arthropoda; Insecta; Diptera; Sepsidae
Description: tRNA-Trp
Source: RNAcentral